UUAACACAUGCAAGUCGAACGAAGAAACUUAGAAUGAGAGCUUCGGCAGGGAUUUCUUCUUUUCUUUAGUGGCGGACGGGUGAGUAACGUGUGGGCAACCUGCCCUGUACUGUGGAAUAAUCACUGGAAACGGUGACUAAUACCGCAUGUCAUCUUUGGAAGGCAUCUUCUGAAGAAAAAAGGAGCAAUUCGGUACAGGAUGGGCCCGCAUCUGAUUAGCUAGUUGGUGAGAUAACAGCCCACCAAGGCGACGAUCAGUAGCCGACCUGAGAGGGUGAUCGGCCACAUUGGGACUGAGACACGGCCCAAACUCCUACGGGAGGCAGCAGUGGGGAAUAUUGCACAAUGGGGGAAACCCUGAUGCAGCAACGCCGCGUGAAGGAUGAAGGUUUUCGGAUCGUAAACUUCUAUCAACAGGGAAGAAACAAAUGACGGUACCUGAAUAAGAAGCCCCGGCUAACUACGUG
Molecule: ribosomal RNA, 467 nt
Filed under: uncultured bacterium
Lineage: Bacteria
Description: bacterial SSU rRNA
Rfam family: Bacterial small subunit ribosomal RNA
Source: RNAcentral